GUGCUCGCUUUAGCAGCACAUGGACUAAAAUUGGAACAUUAUAGAAAAGAUGAGCAUGGCCUCUGCAUAAGGAUGACACAUGAAUUUGUGACAUGCCAUAUUAAG
This is a small nuclear RNA of Suricata suricatta (meerkat), 105 nucleotides long. The record is from Ensembl. NCBI's taxonomy places the organism in Eukaryota, Metazoa, Chordata, Mammalia, Carnivora, Herpestidae.